Long non-coding RNA from Etheostoma spectabile (orangethroat darter), 414 nucleotides. RefSeq lists it as uncharacterized. The record is from RefSeq and is a predicted model, not a curated record. The transcript is spliced from 3 exons. Lineage: Eukaryota; Metazoa; Chordata; Actinopteri; Perciformes; Percidae.
GUUCAUAAUUGUAUAAUUUUGAGGUUAUAUCAGAAUAGGUUUACAUAGUUUAAUUUUCAACAAACACUACAUUUUGUAGUUGUACUGCACAUUGCUGCAGCUCCUCUUUUCACUCUGUGUGUUCAGGUCUCUGUUUUAGCUACAGACUGAGACAUCUCACUUCUUAACAAUCUUUGUUAGGUGUUGCACAUGCACAGUAGCUAGGUAAGGAUCACUAGCUGUUUCUCCAACUUCAGUCACUGCAAAGCAAGAUUAGCUGGAAGACUUCUUCUAAACGAGGGCACAAUUCCAACUUUGCGUGGAAUACCUGCAGGACAGGGACAUUUAAGUAGAUCUUUUGUAGAUGAUGGUGAACUCCUGUGUGUUGUAGCAGUGUUUUGCCAUUGAGAACGAAGGAGCAUGCUAGCGCUAGCG